This 457-nucleotide ribosomal RNA is filed under the name uncultured bacterium. Its description in RNAcentral is "bacterial SSU rRNA". It matches the Rfam family "Bacterial small subunit ribosomal RNA", at positions 340 to 786 of the family's 1533-position model. The record is from RNAcentral.
UACGGAAGGCAGCAGUGGGGAAUAUUGCACAAUGGGCGAAAGCCUGAUGCAGCUAUGCCGCGUGUAUGAAGAAGGCCUUAGGGUUGUAAAGUACUUUCAUCGGGGAGGAAAAAACAAAACUAAUAAUUUUAUUUCUUGACGUUACCCGAAAAAGAAGCACCGGCUAACUCCGUGCCAGCAGCCGCGGUAAUACGGAGGGUGCUAGCGUUAAUCAGAAUUACUGGGCGUAAAGAGCACGUAGGUGGUUUUUUUAAGUCAGAUGUGAAAUCCCUGGGCUUAACCUAGGAACUGCAUUUUGAAACUGAAAUACUAGAGUAUCGUAGAGGGAGGUAGAAUUCUAGGUGUAGCGGUGAAAUGCGUAGAUAUCUGGAGGAAUACCUGUGGCGAAAGCGGCCUCCUAAACGAAUACUGACACUGAGGUGCGAAAGCGUGGGGAGCAAACAGGGAUUAGGAUACC